This is a long non-coding RNA of Apis florea (little honeybee), 720 nucleotides long. Lineage: Eukaryota; Metazoa; Arthropoda; Insecta; Hymenoptera; Apidae. The record is from RefSeq and is a predicted model, not a curated record.
AAAACGUCAAAAAUAAAAGUGAAGAGAUCGAUGCGGAAAUCAGAGGAGCCAUCGGUAAAAUCACUGUUGUCGAAAGUGUAGUUCUGAAAUCCAUUCCGGCCAGUUAAAGGGAGCCAAGUAACGUGAAGUAAUUCGUUCACGGAUAAAGGGAGAUCACCGAACAUUGGCAAUUUAGUGGAUUCACCGGAGAAUCUCUCCACCUCGAAUGUGCACCGUUGACGAGGUUUUAAUUACGCUAAUUACUCGAACGAAGCGGUACAACAGGCAGCCACCAGGGUGUAUCGUCGUGGGAAAUGCCUGAGUGUCGUGAUUUUGAUGUGGGAUAAAAAAUAGCGCAAAUAGGCUGAAUACCCGAUAAAUUUGAGGUUAGUUACCGUUCUUCUUCAUCGAUGUAGUCACGUGAUAGGGUGGCGGUGUCGUGGACGUCGUAGAUGGUGCUGGAAUCUCUGUGAAGGAAAAGAUGAAGUUUGAAUAUUUUCCCAAUUUAUUCACCCAAGGAGGUGGAAAAGUAUACUCUCUCGGGAUAAAUAUAUCUUUCGUAAAUUUAAUCGCCAAUUACGAGGCACGUUGAAACGAUAAGGAUGCUUGACCUCGUCAAACGAUCGAUAACCAUCGACUAGGAAAUGAUACGAGUUUUUUGCGCAAAAUCUAUUGAAAAUCUAUUCAUUUUUUUCAUUACAAGAUCGUAUAUACGUCAAGAAAGAAUUACUUAAUUUUUCA